CAAGGCUUGACAUGGAUUUCUAAGCACGUGAAAGCGUGUGACCCUUCGGGGAACUUCCACAGGUGCUGCAUGGCCGUCGUCAGCUCGUGUCGUGAGAUGUUGGGUUAAGUCCCGCAACGAGCGCAACCCUUGUGAUUAGUUGCCAGCACGUAAUGGUGGGAACUCUAAUCAGACUGCCCAGAUCAACUGGGAGGAAGGUGGGGACGACGUCAGGUCAGUAUGGCCCUUACGCCUUGGGCUGCACACGUACUACAAUGCCCAGUACAAUGAGAACCGAUGCCGCGAGGUGGAGGAAAUCUGUAAAACUGGGCCCAGUUCGGAUUGGAGGCUGCAACUCGCCUCCAUGAAGUUGGAAUCGCUAGUAAUGGCGCAUCAUCUACGGCGCCGUGAAUACGUUCCC
Molecule: ribosomal RNA, 400 nt
Filed under: uncultured bacterium
Lineage: Bacteria
Description: bacterial SSU rRNA
Rfam family: Bacterial small subunit ribosomal RNA
Source: RNAcentral